GACGAACGCUGGCGGCGUGCCUAAUACAUGCAAGUAGAACGCUGAAGGAGGAGCUUACUUCUCUGGAUGAGUUGCGAACGGGUGGGUAACGCGUAGGUAACCUGCCUGGUAGCGGGGGAUAACUAUUGGAAACGAUAGCUAAUACCGCAUAAGAGUAGAUGUUGCAUGACAUUUGCUUAAAAGGUGCAAUUGUAUCACUACCAGAUGGACCUGCGUUGUAUUAGCUAGUUGGUGGGGUAACGGCUCACCAAGGCGACGAUACAUAGCCGACCUGAGAGGGGGAUCGGCCACACGGGGACUGAGACACGGCCCAGACUCCUACGGGAGGCAGCAGUAGGGAAUCUUCGGCAAUGGACGGAAGUCUGACCGAGCAACGCCGCGUGAGUGAAGAAGGUUUUCGGAUCGUAAAGCUCUGUUGUAAGAGAAGAACGGGUGUGAGAGUGGAAAGUUCACACUGUGACGGUAUCUUACCAGAAAGGGACGGCUAACUACGU
This 494-nucleotide ribosomal RNA is filed under the name uncultured bacterium. RNAcentral describes it as "partial 16S ribosomal RNA". It matches the Rfam family "Bacterial small subunit ribosomal RNA", at positions 28 to 506 of the family's 1533-position model. The record is from RNAcentral.